CUCACCACGGGCCCAGAGACAACAAAGCCAGCUGACCAUGGACUGAAGCCUUUGAAACCAUGAGCCCAAAUACACCUUCCCUCCUUUGUCACAGGGAUGGAGAGCUGACUUACACAUGGGCAGAGUCACUCAUGUUCCAGUUCAAGGAAGUCAGAGAGACAGACUGAGAGUGGUAUCUCCACGGCAGCAGGAACACACCAAGAGCCUUUUUCUCCCACAGAUGACCUCUUUAUCCUGUAUUGUCAUCUCUGUUCAUGACCAAGGGACCAUCACAGGGACCCAGAACUUAGUUGUUCUGGAGCCAGGACCUUCCCUUGCCCCACAUCUUUGUUUCUGCAGCAGCUGACGGGACCCCUCUCCAGUGCCUGCUCCCAUGGGAACCAGCAUGGUGGCCUCCUGACUGAUCCGCACUGCUCUUCAGCACACUCUAGUUUGACUUUGGAAAGUGCAGCUCUGAUCCCACUGGACCCUUUCUCAAGGGACCCUCUUUUCUUUAUACUGCAGUGCCUGUCCCUCCCACGGGGACCUUUAGGGGCUCUUGCCUGGCAUUCAGGACAUUCCACUGUACCCACAUAGCCUGACCUCCCCUUCAUCCACUGGCUCCCAUUCCACUCACGAGGCCCCAUGCUAAUCACUGUGGACAUUCCGCCCCCUGUAACCUUGUGCUAUGAAUCGGAUGUGCUUUGCCCCCAAAGAGGCUUGGUCCUAAUGUGGUGGUAAUAUGAGGUGGUGGCACCUUUAAGAGGUAGGGCUUAGAGGAAGGUGGUUAGGUCAUUGUGCUGCUCAAAGGGCAUUAAUGUAGCUCUCACAGAGCCCAGGUCAGUUCUCAUAAGAGUGGGUUCUUGUAAAAUUAGGUUAAUACAUGUGCCUGCCCCCUUCUGCACACAGCUGCUUCUCCUGCUUUUCCCUCCUGCCGUGUGAUACAGCCACAGGUGUCCUCAUCUGGGGCCAAACAAGUUGCCCAAUCUUGGACUUUUAGUCUCCAAAACUGUGAGCUUAAGAAACCUCUUUUCUUUAUACUAAUUAUUCAACCUCUGGUUAUUUUGUUAUAAGAACAUAAAACAGACUAAUAUGCCAUGCAAGGUAGCUAUUAUUGUCCCCAUCUUGUAGAGGAGGACACUGAAUUUUAAAAGCAGUUGAGUAACCUGUUCUAAGUCCCAUAACUUGAUAGGGAGGCUGAGGUUUGAAUUUGGGUUUUUCUGGCUCCAAAGUCCUUCACUGAAUAAACAAAACAACUGAGAGCACAGAAUGAGUAUACACAAUAAUAAUAGAAGCAGGACUCAAAGCAGGGCUAUCAUGGUGGCACAUGCCUGUAAUCCCAGCAACUCGGAGGCUAAGGUAGGAGGAUCGCAAGUUCAAAGCCAGCCUCAGCAAUUUAGUGAGGCCCUCAGCAGCUUAGUGAGACCUUGUCUCUAAUAAAAUUUUAAAAAAUAAAAAAGGACAAGGGAUGUGGCUCAGUGAUUGAAUGCCCCUAGGCUCAAUCCCUGGUACCAAAAAGAAAAGAAAUAGGACUCAAGAUCCAAGAGUGGCAAAAAGUUCAGGUGCACCAUGGCCAGCGCUGAGGAUACUCUUUUGUAUCCAGAUCAGAUGGGUGACUGUGACGGUGCCUAACUUGCACACACCAAAAAGCUGCAGAUGAGAAGUAUAAAAUGCCAGGGAAAAUAAUACCCUGAAAAUGCCCUGCACCCUGCAAGUCAGAAAAGAUGUGGGAUGCACUUUCUGUGUAGUAGCUGAAUGUCGGUGAUGCAUCACCGUUUUAAAGGAACUUUAAGUAGAGCAAAAUUCAAAGUUAAAAAGUAAAGGCUCUAAAUGUGAUGUGGUGUCCUGGAUUGCAUAUUGGACCAGAAAAAAAAAAGACUAUUAGCAGGGAAACUGGUGAAAUCUUAAGUCAGCAGUUUAGUUAAGUAUUGCCCCAAUGUUCAUGUGUUCUUUUUAAUAAAUCUAUGGUUGCGUAAGAUGUUAACAUUGGAGGAAUCUGAGUGAAGGGUAUAAGGAACUCUCUGUACUAUUUUUGCAACUCUAUUUUAAGCCUAAAGUUAUUUUAAAAUAAAAAAGUAUAAAAAAUAAGAGAAUGACCUUCUACUUAAUUUCAUUAGCACUCCUCUUUUUCUCUUUGUUCCUAAAUGGUCAUGUAGUCCUGAACUAAACGUUUCAU
RNAcentral lists this long non-coding RNA (2155 nucleotides) under Marmota monax (woodchuck). Lineage: Eukaryota; Metazoa; Chordata; Mammalia; Rodentia; Sciuridae. The record is from RNAcentral.